Molecule: ribosomal RNA, 414 nt
Filed under: uncultured bacterium
Lineage: Bacteria
Description: bacterial SSU rRNA
Rfam family: Bacterial small subunit ribosomal RNA
Source: RNAcentral
GUUUGAUCCUGGCUCAGAUUGAACGCUGGCGGCAUGCUUUACACAUGCAAGUCGAACGGCAGCACGGGGGCAACCCUGGUGGCGAGUGGCGAACGGGUGAGUAAUAUAUCGGAACGUACCCGGAAAUGGGGGAUAACGUAGCGAAAGUUACGCUAAUACCGCAUAUGCCCUAAGGGGGAAAGCGGGGGAUUCGCAAGAACCUCGCGUUUUCGGAGCGGCCGAUAUCGGAUUAGCUAGUAGGUGAGGUAAAGGCUCACCUAGGCGACGAUCCGUAGCUGGUCUGAGAGGACGACCAGCCACACUGGAACUGAGACACGGUCCAGACUCCUACGGGAGGCAGCAGUGGGGAAUUUUGGACAAUGGCGCAAGCCUGAUCCAGCCAUGCCGCGUGAGUGAAGAAGGCCUCGGUGUAAG